This 74-nucleotide transfer RNA is filed under the name Halapricum sp. CBA1109. It matches the Rfam family "tRNA". From Rfam's summary of the family: Transfer RNA (tRNA) molecules are approximately 80 nucleotides in length. Their secondary structure includes four short double-helical elements and three loops (D, anti-codon, and T loops). Further hydrogen bonds mediate the characteristic L-shaped molecular structure. tRNAs have two regions of fundamental functional importance: the anti-codon, which is responsible for specific mRNA codon recognition, and the 3' end, to which the tRNAs corresponding amino acid is attached (by aminoacyl-tRNA synthetases). tRNAs cope with the degeneracy of the genetic code in two manners: having more than one tRNA (with a specific anti-codon) for a particular amino acid; and 'wobble' base-pairing, i.e. permitting non-standard base-pairing at the 3rd anti-codon position. The record is from Rfam by way of RNAcentral. Lineage: Archaea; Methanobacteriati; Methanobacteriota; Halobacteria; Halobacteriales; Haloarculaceae. RNAcentral also lists the same sequence under 1 other name.
GGGUCCGUGGUCUAGUUGGUUAUGACGCGGCCUUUACAAGGCCGAAAUCGGCGGUUCAACUCCGCCCGGGCCCA